RNAcentral lists this small RNA (576 nucleotides) under Pongo abelii (Sumatran orangutan). RNAcentral's name for it is "processed transcript". The record is from RNAcentral. Lineage: Eukaryota; Metazoa; Chordata; Mammalia; Primates; Hominidae.
GCAUUUGAAAAAGCAGCUAACAUCCAUUAACAACAUACAGAAGAUAUCCCUGGAGCUAUAUUUGGUGGUGAUGACACCUGGCCCUGGUAAGAGCACAUAUUGGACCAGGACUCACAGAAAACACUGGACUUCCCCGGAAGCUGCUUGAAAAACAUGACCCCUGGCCAGCCUAUGUCACCUAUACCUCUCAGACAGUGAAAAGACUCAUUGAGAAAAGCGAAACUAGACAACUGGAAUGCAUGCGUGCCCUCGAGGAAAGACCCUGGGCAUCAAGGCAGAAUAAACCUUCCAGUGUCAUUCAGCUGAAAAGGAGGAAGUCGUCCAAGUCUUCUGGCAAAGCUGUGUUCAGAGACACGCUGUCAGAAUCCACAUUAUCCAUGUGGGGCACUUAUUCGGUAUCGGCCAUGGCUCCUACCAUGAUCCCAGAACCCACACACUUACGUACGGAUUCCAGAGACUGUCCGACUGAAAACUAUAACAAGAUCAUCUUUGCCCGAAAGCCUAUGAUGAGGAUGCUCCCUAUAGUUCGCUACUGACCAACAAGGAGAAACAUGCAAAUGUUUAGCCAGGGGUCCC